This 462-nucleotide ribosomal RNA is filed under the name uncultured bacterium. RNAcentral describes it as "partial 16S ribosomal RNA". It matches the Rfam family "Bacterial small subunit ribosomal RNA", at positions 28 to 507 of the family's 1533-position model. The record is from RNAcentral.
GAUAAACGCUGGCGGCGUGCUUAACACAUGCAAGUCGAACGAAGUUUUUCCUUUUGGGGAAACUUAGUGGCGGACGGAUGAGUAACGCGCGGGUAACCUGCCCUGUAUAGGGGGACAACAGCUUGAAACGGCUGCUAAUACCGCAUAAGCACUUAGCACUGCAUCGUGCUUAGGGAAGAGGAGCAAUCCGGUACAGGAUGGACCCGCGUCUGAUUCGCCAGUUGGCAGGGUUACGGCCUACCAAAGCGACGAUCAGUAGCCGAUCUGGGAGGAUGUACGGCUAGAUUGGGACUGAGGCCCAGCCCAGACUCCGAGGGGAGGCAGCAGAGGGGAAUAUUGCACGAGGGAGGAAGCUCCGAUGCAGCGACGCCGCGUGAGUGAGGAAGUGUUUCGGUAUGUAAAGCUCUAUCAGUAGAGGAGAAAGUGACGGUACCUGACUAAGAAGCACCGGCUAACUACGUG